This 1225-nucleotide long non-coding RNA is filed under the name Mus musculus (house mouse). RNAcentral describes it as "long non-coding RNA chr2:158764816-158766041". The record is from RNAcentral. Lineage: Eukaryota; Metazoa; Chordata; Mammalia; Rodentia; Muridae.
UUCUUUUUUUUUUUUUUUUUUUUUUUUUUUUUUUAAAGAUUUAUUUAUUUAUUUAUUAUAUGUAAGUACACUGUAGCUGUCUUCAGACACUCCAGAAGAGGGAGUCAGAUCUCAUUAUGGGUGGUUGUAAGCCACCAUGUGGUUGCUGGGAUUUGAACUUCGAACCUUCGGAAGAGCAGUCGGGUGCUCUUACCCACUGAGCCAUCUCACCAGCCCACUACUUCUCUUCAAAUUAAACAUUUCCAUGUGUGUCAGCCUCUCUCCCUGGAAGAUGUGGAUCCAAGGGCUAGGAGAAGCCUGGCAAGGUUGACCAGAUGGCUCACUCCUACUGAAGACAUCUAUUUCCAAACCAGGUGCCCUGCAGUUCCCUGUGAGCUGUGGUUCCUUGCACCCACCUAUGCUCCCCAAACUAUUAGAAAUUGGUAGCUAUCACCAGAUUGUGAAUUUCUGGCCAGUAGCUCAGGGAAUUGGAAUGAAUCCUAAACCCAGGUCUACUGAAGACUUUGGGGACAUAAUUCUUUAUCAAAUAUACAGCAUUAAUGAAGCUUCUCUGUACUAUUUGAUUAACUUGUAGACUUUUGAGAAGCUUGCCAGAGUGUGUCCCUCAGCCAGGUGUAGUGGCACACAUCUUUAAUCCCAGCACAUAGGCGGCAGAGGCAAGUGGUUGUAUUUCUGAGUUCCAAGCCAGCCUGGUCUACAGAGUGAGUUCUAGGCUAGCCAGGGCUACUCAGAGAAACCUUGUCUCCAAAAAACCAAAUAAAAAAUAAAAUAAAAUAUGGCCUCUGGGUUGGGUUAACACAGUCUAGCUUUGUAACAAUGUGAGACUCUUGGUUCUUAGUGUUCUAUACCCUCUGGUUCUGGGCGUUGUCUCCCACCUGUUCUUCUAAAGCAGGAUAUUGGGAUAUUUUCCAGAGGGGCCAUCCUUACACGAUGUUGGGACUGUCUGAACUGUCGCUAUUUGUAGCCUGGUGAUAUCCCCUUCUUCCCCAGGGCACAGAAAAGCCAAGGGUCAUAUGGCCAGGGCCAACAGCUCCACUAAAGUGACCCACCACUUUUCUAGAAAGCCCGAGACCUCUCCCUUGUUGACCAGAGGGCCUGCUUCUCAUGGGCACUUCAAAUGCCACUGUGCGGGGCCUGGCUCUGCAUACCUAGGAAAAGUCUGCAGACACCCAGCCCUCCGCAAUAAUUCACCAGACCAGAAGCCACUGAUGUACAGAGAACACUU